RNAcentral lists this ribosomal RNA (282 nucleotides) under Triticum aestivum (bread wheat). Its description in RNAcentral is "partial small subunit ribosomal RNA". Lineage: Eukaryota; Viridiplantae; Streptophyta; Magnoliopsida; Poales; Poaceae. The record is from RNAcentral.
CAUUGUCCUCCUCAGCUUCUUGGUUCUCAUCCUCUUCUUCCAUUUCCUCUUCUUCUGCCACUUCCUCCUCUUCCUCCUCAUCUUCGACAUCUUGAUUUGUACGAGCUCUUUUGCCUCUAGUUCUUGAAGCUACAGAUUUUUGUUUCCCCUUUGAAUUGAUGUCAAUUUCAGCUUCAUCUUCAGAUGACUCAUCAUCUUGUAGUAGCUCUUCAUCCAACAUCCACUCAUUUGGUGGCUCAUCUUCAAUGUAUUUUGCAAGCAGUGGGUCCCUUUCCCUCUCAG